UCAAUGGAUUUCACAUGGCUGUCUGCA
This 27-nucleotide non-coding RNA is filed under the name Mus musculus (house mouse). Lineage: Eukaryota; Metazoa; Chordata; Mammalia; Rodentia; Muridae. The record is from RNAcentral.